GACGAACGCUGGCGGCGUGCUUAACACAUGCAAGUCGAACGGAAAGGCCCUGCAUUUGUGGGGUGCUCGAGUGGCGAACGGGUGAGUAACACGUGAGUAACCUGCCCUUGACUUUGGGAUAACUUCAGGAAACUGGGGCUAAUACCGGAUAGGAGCUCCUGCUGCAUGUUGGGGGUUGGAAAGUUUCUGCGGUUGGGGAUGGACUCGCGGCUGAUCAGCUUGUUGGUGGGGUAGUGGCUUACCAAGUCUUUGACGGGUAGCCGGCCUGAGAGGGUGACCGGCCACAUUGGGACUGAGAUACGGCCCAGACUCCUACGGGAGGCAGCAGUGGGGAAUAUUGCACAAUGGGCGGAAGCCUGAUGCAGCAACGCCGCGUGCGGGAUGACGGCCUUCGGGUUGUAAACCGCUUUCGCCUGUGACGAAGCGUGAGUGACGGUAAUGGGUAAAGAAGCACCGGCUAACUACGUG
Molecule: ribosomal RNA, 468 nt
Filed under: uncultured bacterium
Lineage: Bacteria
Description: partial 16S ribosomal RNA
Rfam family: Bacterial small subunit ribosomal RNA
Source: RNAcentral